RNAcentral lists this unclassified non-coding RNA (310 nucleotides) under plant metagenome. RNAcentral describes it as "partial contains 5.8S ribosomal RNA, internal transcribed spacer 2, and large subunit ribosomal RNA". The stretch from base 1 to 105 matches the Rfam family "5.8S ribosomal RNA", at positions 50 to 154 of the family's 154-position model. The record is from RNAcentral.
GAAAUGCGAUAAGUAGUGUGAAUUGCAGAAUUCAGUGAAUCAUCGAAUCUUUGAACGCACAUUGCGCCCCUUGGUAUUCCAUGGGGCAUGCCUGUUCGAGCGUCAUUUGUACCCUCAAGCUCUGCUUGGUGUUGGGUGUUUGUCCCCGUCUCCGCGCGUGGACUCGCCCCAAAGUGAUUGGCAGCCGGCGUACUGGUCCCGGAGCGCAGCACAUGUCGCGCAAACGAGUGCCUUGGUACGGCGGCGUCCAUAAGCCCUUCUCUCACGCUCUUGACCUCGGAUCAGGUAGGGAUACCCGCUGAACUUAAGC